Molecule: ribosomal RNA, 170 nt
Filed under: Upeneus pori (Por's goatfish)
Lineage: Eukaryota; Metazoa; Chordata; Actinopteri; Syngnathiformes; Mullidae
Also listed under: 1 other name
Description: partial small subunit ribosomal RNA
Source: RNAcentral
CACCGCGGUUAUACGAGAGGCCCAAGUUGAUAAGCAUCGGCGUAAAGGGUGGUUAGGGAAAAUUAUACAAUAAAGCCGAACAUCUUCAAAACUGUUAUACGCCCUCGAAGAUCUGAAGCCCCACCACGAAAGUGGCUUUAUAUAGCCCCGAACCCACGAGAGCCAGGGAA